Molecule: non-coding RNA, 21 nt
Filed under: Caenorhabditis elegans
Lineage: Eukaryota; Metazoa; Nematoda; Chromadorea; Rhabditida; Rhabditidae
Source: RNAcentral
UAACAGCUAUAAAUAUUUUAG